GACGAACGCUGGCGGCGUGCCUAAUACAUGCAAGUCGAGCGGACGAAUCGAAAGCUUGCUUUUGAUUCGUUAGCGGCGGACGGGUGAGUAACACGUGGGCAACCUGCCCUGUAGACGGGGAUAACACCGAGAAAUCGGUGCUAAUACCGGAUAACACGAAAUGUCGCAUGACGUUUCGUUGAAAGACGGCGCAAGCUGUCGCUACAGGAUGGGCCCGCGGCGCCUUAGCUAGUUGGUGAGGUAACGGCUCACCAAGGCGACGAUGCGUAGCCGACCUGAGAGGGUGAUCGGCCACACCGGGACUGAGACACGGCCCAGACUCCUACGGGAGGCAGCAGUAGGGAAUCUUCCGCAAUGGACGAAAGUCUGACGGAGCAACGCCGCGUGAGCGAAGAAGGCCUUCGGGUCGUAAAGCUCUGUUGUUAGGGAAGAACAAGUAACGCAGUAACUGGCGUUACCGUGACGGUACCUAACGAGAAAGCCACGGCUAACUACGUG
This 498-nucleotide ribosomal RNA is filed under the name uncultured bacterium. Its description in RNAcentral is "partial 16S ribosomal RNA". It matches the Rfam family "Bacterial small subunit ribosomal RNA", at positions 28 to 507 of the family's 1533-position model. The record is from RNAcentral.